GGUGGGCACUCUAAGGAGAACUGCCGGGUGACGAAACCGGAGGAAGGUGGGGAUGACGUCAAGUCAUCAUGGCCCUUACGGCCUGGGCUACACACGUGCUACAAUGGUACGGUACAAAGGGUUGCCAAGCCGCGAGGUGGAGCUAAUCCCAUAAAACCGAUCGUAGUCCGGAUCGCAGUCUGCAACUCGACUGCGUGAAGUCGGAAUCGCUAGUAAUCGUGAAUCAGAAUGUCACGGUGAAUACGUUCCCGGGCCUU
This 257-nucleotide ribosomal RNA is filed under the name uncultured Pseudomonas sp. RNAcentral describes it as "partial 16S ribosomal RNA". It matches the Rfam family "Bacterial small subunit ribosomal RNA", at positions 1130 to 1382 of the family's 1533-position model. The record is from RNAcentral. Lineage: Bacteria; Pseudomonadati; Pseudomonadota; Gammaproteobacteria; Pseudomonadales; Pseudomonadaceae.